GUGGGGAAUAUUGGACAAUGGGGGGAACCCUGAUCCAGCCAUGCCGCGUGUGUGAAGAAGGCCUUUUGGUUGUAAAGCACUUUAAGCGAGGAGGAGGCUACCGAGAUUAAUACUCUUGGAUAGUGGACGUUACUCGCAGAAUAAGCACCGGCUAACUCUGUGCCAGCAGCCGCGGUAAUACAGAGGGUGCAAGCGUUAAUCGGAUUUACUGGGCGUAAAGCGCGCGUAGGUGGCCAAUUAAGUCAAAUGUGGAAUCCCCGAGCUUAACUUGGGAAGUGCAUUCGAUACUGGUUGGCUAGAGUAUGGGAGAGGAUGGUAGAAUUCCAGGUGUAGCGGUGAAAUGCGUAGAGAUCUGGAGGAAUACCGAUGGCGAAGGCAGCCAUCUGGCCUAAUACUGACACUGAGGUGCGAAAGCAUGGGGAGCAAACAGGAUUAGAAACCCUGGUAGUCC
RNAcentral lists this ribosomal RNA (451 nucleotides) under uncultured bacterium. RNAcentral describes it as "partial 16S ribosomal RNA". It matches the Rfam family "Bacterial small subunit ribosomal RNA", at positions 354 to 796 of the family's 1533-position model. The record is from RNAcentral.